CCUACGGGGGGCUGCAGUGGGGAAUCUUGCGCAAUGGACGAAAGUCUGACGCAGCGACGCCGCGUGGGUGAUGAAGGCCUUCGGGUUGUAAAGCCCUGUGGGGAGAGAAGAAUAAGUGCGGGCUAAUACCCCGCAUGAUGACGGUAUCUCCUUAGCAAGCACCGGCUAACUCUGUGCCAGCAGCCGCGGUAAGACAGAGGGUGCAAACGUGGUUCGAAAGUGCUGGGAGUAAGGCGUGUAUAGGCGAUGUGAAAGCCCCGGGCUCAACCCGGGAAGUGCACGCGAUACUGUUAGGCUAGAGUACUGGAGAGGUUGGUGGAAUUCUGGGUGUAGAGGUGAAAUUCGUAGAUAUCGAGAGGAACACCGGUGGCGAAGGCGGCCAACUGGACAGAUACUGACGCUGAGACACGAAAGCGUGGGGAGCAAACAGGAUUAGAUACCCCAGUAGUC
RNAcentral lists this ribosomal RNA (450 nucleotides) under uncultured bacterium. RNAcentral describes it as "partial 16S ribosomal RNA". It matches the Rfam family "Bacterial small subunit ribosomal RNA", at positions 338 to 795 of the family's 1533-position model. The record is from RNAcentral.